RNAcentral lists this ribosomal RNA (253 nucleotides) under uncultured bacterium. RNAcentral describes it as "partial 16S ribosomal RNA". It matches the Rfam family "Bacterial small subunit ribosomal RNA", at positions 524 to 776 of the family's 1533-position model. The record is from RNAcentral.
UACGUAGGUGGCAAGCGUUGUCCGGAAUCACUGGGCGUAAAGCGCACGUAGGCGGACUCUUAAGUCGGUGGUGAUAUCCUGGAGCUCAACUCCAGAACUGCCUUCGAUACUGAGAGUCUUGAGUCCGGGAGAGGUGAGUGGAACUGCGAGUGUAGAGGUGAAAUUCGUAGAUAUUCGCAAGAACACCAGUGGCGAAGGCGGCUCACUGGCCCGGUACUGACGCUGAGGUGCGAAAGCGUGGGGAGCAAACAGG